RNAcentral lists this long non-coding RNA (1353 nucleotides) under Zea mays. Its description in RNAcentral is "long non-coding RNA (ZMAY_LNC004023)". The record is from RNAcentral. Lineage: Eukaryota; Viridiplantae; Streptophyta; Magnoliopsida; Poales; Poaceae.
AAUGAACGUGGACCGGACUUGGGGAGGCAAUCGAGGUCUUGAAAUCGGUUGGAACCUAUGCUUGCCGGACUGGGCUCAGAUUAUUAUUAUUUCGAUGCCUCCGUGAAAAACGAAAGAAGCCGAUCAUCGGCUCAUCGCCGCGUCCAACCAGGUGGGUGGUGGUAGACGAAGGAACGCCGUGCGGCGGAGUACGCCGCCGGCACACACACACAUCUGACGUGCUCUCGUCCCGACUCCCGCGGAUCUGUUGCAGGCACCUGACCUCCACGGUGAUCGGCACCACGCGUGCGGGGGUCCUGGUCUCCUGGACACCCCAGCGCGACGGUGCGAGCGAGGUGACACGGGAACGGGCGGAGGAUCUGAUCUCACGUCAGCUGACGCUACGGCGGUAUGUGUUGAGAAACCCUAAUGAAGGGUUAUGUGGGUAAAUACCGGCUUUGCCCCUGAGGGGUCUCACAUCUCUAUAUAAGGAGUCUGUACACCUCUUUAUAUUACAGAGAUCAAAAAGAGGCCAGAGGUCCAACCCUAUAUCCAGUGUCUCGUGUGUUUCUUCUGUCGUGCUUAUGGGAAGAGAGACGGAUCAUCUACAGCUUCUUGCGCCUCUACUGCUGACGGGAGGGAAGAGAGCGGAUCUGGUGAUCCGUGGUAACGUAGUUCUCAACACGUUAUCAGCACGCUCUACCUCGACGUUGCCGCGAGAUCAAAUCUGCAUCAAGUCUCCGUCAAGCCGGCAAGUCUCUGGCCUAGCCGAACUGUCCUACGCGACAGACUUUGAUUCUCUCUCUACGUAAUGGAGUGGUAUGUCUGUAUGUCUUUCUAAGUCGAUUGGAUCUACUGUUCUCGAAGAACAGGCGGCGCGACGGCCUUCACAGUGGCCUCCGCUGCUUAUUGUGUGGAACACCAGAGCCGACCACGCAUGUGAGUCGUCGAUGUCUCGUCGUGCUCACACCGGCCUCCAGCCUGCAGCUGCAGCAGGGCUAGAUCAGAGUCUACGUCGGAGAAAUCAAAGGGUUCUGGUAGCUGCUAAAGUGGAACCGCGUGAUAUACUGGAUGGCAGCUAUGGGCUGUGAACCAGUCAUGAAGAUAAGGACGUGCGCGAAAGAGAGUGAAAACUGGAUCUCUCUCUCCCCUCGCUCCCCGUGCGGCACUGCAUGCCACGGAUAAGCAGCUACUUCAUCCAACCGACGUAAGAAAAGAUCCGGUCAAAGUGCAUGAGGUGCAUACAUGCAAUGGCCAUUUUGCAUGUGCGGUCAACAAAAAAAAGCCACGGUCGUGGGAUUCAUAGCCUGCUUAUGCGCCUCCUUAGCAUUUUUUAUUUAAUUCUACUUAGUUGCUAAUCUCAUUUUUUUAUAU